CGGAGGGUGCAAGCGUUGUCCGGAUUUAUUGGGUUUAAAGGGUGCGUAGGCGGCUUUUUAGGUCAGUGGUGAAAUCCUUCAGCUUAACUGGAGAAUUGCUAUUGAUACUGGAAAGCUUGAGUACAGACGAGGUAGGCGGAAUUUAUGGUGUAGCGGUGAAAUGCUUAGAUACCAUAAAGAACACCGAUCGCGAAGGCAGCUUACUAGGCUGUAACUGACGCUGAGGCACGAAAGUGUGGGGAUCAAACAGGAUUAGAUACCCUGGUAGUCCACACUGUAAACGAUGAUUACUCGAUGUGUGCGAUAGACAGUACGCGUCCAAGCGAAAGCGUUAAGUAAUCCACCUGGGGAGUACGAUCGCAAGAUUG
This 368-nucleotide ribosomal RNA is filed under the name uncultured organism. Its description in RNAcentral is "bacterial SSU rRNA". It matches the Rfam family "Bacterial small subunit ribosomal RNA", at positions 526 to 896 of the family's 1533-position model. The record is from RNAcentral.